UGGUUGAUCCUGCCAGUAGUGUACGCUUCUCCUAAAGACUAAGCCAUGCAUGUUUCCGAAUAAGAAGAAGCAAUUCUCUCUGAAUCUGCGAACGGCUCCGCACACCAGUUGUAAACUAUAGCAAGCACGUUCGGCAUCCGGCCUUUACGGGUUGGAUUCUGGGCGAUAAGGAUAACCCUGGUAAUUCUGAGGCUAAUACGAGACAUUAAAACCUGGCUGACGGGGCAACCCGGAGGUUGGGGGACGUGUUAAGUUUUUGCGAGGAUUUGCUGGGAAAAGAAACACGUUCAGACCGCGACAAAAACGGGAAGGCUCCGGCUAACCCGAGCGGCUCUUGCGAUGUGCUUCUGACCUAUCAACUAGAUGGCAGCGUAACGGACAUGCUAUGGUUACAACGGGUACAGAGGAUUAGGGUUCGAUCCUGGAGAGUGGGCCUGAGAGAUUGCUCAUACUUCUAAGGAAGGCAGCAGGCGCGCAACGUUCCCAUUGGACAAAGUCCGAGGGCGUUAGGGGAAAUAUGAAUGCCUACCAUUGGUGGGCAAUUCAAAUGGGUCUGUUCUAAACAGGCUCUCGAGUAACAAUUAGAGGACAAGUC
RNAcentral lists this ribosomal RNA (595 nucleotides) under Diderma hemisphaericum. Its description in RNAcentral is "SSU rRNA". It matches the Rfam family "Eukaryotic small subunit ribosomal RNA", at positions 5 to 561 of the family's 1831-position model. The record is from RNAcentral. Lineage: Eukaryota; Evosea; Eumycetozoa; Physariida; Didymiaceae.